AACGAACGCUGGCGGCGUGGAUAAGACAUGCAAGUCGAACGCUGAUUGCGGGGUAGCAAUAUUCCGCAGUCGGAGUGGCGCAAGGGUGCGUAACACGUGGGUAAUUUGCCGGGAAGUUGGGGAUAACUUGCUGAAAGGCAAGCUAAUACCGAAUGUGAAAUCUGGAAGGCAUCUUCCGGUUUUCAAAGUUGGGGACCGUAAGGCCUGACGCUUCCUGAUAAGCCCGCGGCCUAUCAGCUAGUUGGUGAGGUAACGGCUCACCAAGGCUAAGACGGGUAGCUGGUCUGAGAGGACGACCAGCCACACUGGAACUGAGACACGGUCCAGACACCUACGGGUGGCAGCAGUCGAGAAUUUUUCACAAUGGGGAAACCCUGAUGGAGCGACGCCGCGUGGGGGAUGAAUGGCUUCGGCCCGUAAACCCCUGUCAUUUGCGAACAAACCUCGCUAUUUAAAAGAUGGUGAGUUGAUUGUAGCGAAAGAGGAAGGGACGGCUAACUCUGUGCCAGC
Molecule: ribosomal RNA, 510 nt
Filed under: uncultured bacterium
Lineage: Bacteria
Description: bacterial SSU rRNA
Rfam family: Bacterial small subunit ribosomal RNA
Source: RNAcentral